Molecule: ribosomal RNA, 460 nt
Filed under: uncultured bacterium
Lineage: Bacteria
Description: partial 16S ribosomal RNA
Rfam family: Bacterial small subunit ribosomal RNA
Source: RNAcentral
CCUACGGGAGGCAGCAGUGAGGAAUAUUGGUCAAUGGGCGCGAGCCUGAACCAGCCAAGUCGCGUGAGGGAUGACGGCCCUACGGGUUGUAAACCUCUUUUGCCGAGGCGCAACGUCCGCCACGUGUGGCUCCACUGGGAUUACCCGGAGAAAAAGCAUCGGCUAACUCCGUGCCAGCAGCCGCGGUAAUACGGGGGAUGCGAGCUUUAUCCGGAUUUAUUGGGUUUAAAGGGUGCGUAGGCGGAUCGUUAAGUCAGUGUUAAAAUUGAGGGGCUCAACCCCUGCCCGCCAUUGAAACUGGCGCUCUUGAGUGGAAGAGAGGUAUGCGGAAUGCGUGGUGGAGCGGUGAAAUGCAUAGAUAUCACGCAGAACCCCGAUUGCGAAGGCAGCAUGCCGGCUGCGGACUGACGCUGAAGCACGAAAGCGUGGGGAUCGAACAGGAUUAGAUACCCGAGUAGUC